This 74-nucleotide transfer RNA is filed under the name Brachymeles lukbani. RNAcentral describes it as "tRNA-Xle". The record is from RNAcentral. Lineage: Eukaryota; Metazoa; Chordata; Lepidosauria; Squamata; Scincidae.
CAAGGAAGUGUGCCCGAACGCCAAGGGGGCACUUUGAUAGAGUACACCACAGGGGUUAAAGUCCCCUCACUUCC